GACGAACGCUGGCGGCGUGCUUAACACAUGCAAGUCGAACGGAAAGGCCCCUUUGGGGGUACUCGAGUGGCGAACGGGUGAGUAACACGUGAAUAACCUGCCCUUGACUUCGGGAUAACUUCAGGAAACUGGGGCUAAUACCGGAUAGGAAUCCUUGCUGCAUGGUGGGGGUUGGAAAGCUUCGGCGGUUUUGGAUGGACUCGCGGCUUAUCAGCUUGUUGGUGGGGUAGUGGCUUACCAAGGCUUUGACGGGUAGCCGGCCUGAGAGGGCGACCGGCCACAUUGGGACUGAGAUACGGCCCAGACUCCUACGGGAGGCAGCAGUGGGGAAUAUUGCACAAUGGGCGGAAGCCUGAUGCAGCAACGCCGCGUGCGGGAUGACGGCCUUCGGGUUGUAAACCGCUUUCAGCAGGGGCGAAGCUUGUGGUGACGGUACCUGCAGAAGAAGCACCGGCUAACUACGUG
RNAcentral lists this ribosomal RNA (465 nucleotides) under uncultured bacterium. RNAcentral describes it as "partial 16S ribosomal RNA". It matches the Rfam family "Bacterial small subunit ribosomal RNA", at positions 28 to 507 of the family's 1533-position model. The record is from RNAcentral.